This 253-nucleotide ribosomal RNA is filed under the name uncultured bacterium. RNAcentral's name for it is "partial 16S ribosomal RNA". It matches the Rfam family "Bacterial small subunit ribosomal RNA", at positions 524 to 776 of the family's 1533-position model. The record is from RNAcentral.
UACGUAGGGUGCAAGCGUUGUCCGGAAUUAUUGGGCGUAAAGAGCUCGUAGGCGGCUUGUCGCGUCGACCGUGAAAACUUGGGGCUCAACCCCAAGCCUGCGGUCGAUACGGGCAGGCUAGAGUUCGGUAGGGGAGACUGGAAUUCCUGGUGUAGCGGUGAAAUGCGCAGAUAUCAGGAGGAACACCGGUGGCGAAGGCGGGUCUCUGGGCCGAUACUGACGCUGAGGAGCGAAGGCCAGGGGAGCAAACGGG